AUCAGUCUCCUGCAUGUUGUGCGCGCGCGUGUACCGUGCCAGCGAUCCAGCGUAAUAAGUAACGUGACAUUGUACAGGACAUCGACGCCAUUGCUAUCUUUCACAUCAACGAUCUUUAGCUAAUUCAGCCGUGAGUGAGAAGACCUCGCGAAUCCACGACCUAUUCAUCUUAAAAAACAACCAGCUAAACCAGAAUGUCUCGUUACGAUGGCGGCGGUGGUGGUGGUGGUGGUGGUAGGUCCUCUGCUGAAAGGGGCUGCAAAGUGUACAUCGGAAAUCUUGGAGAAUCUGCCAACAAGUCUGAGAUCGAGAGACUAUUUGGUACUUUUGGAUCUUUGAAGAGUGUCUGGAUUGCUAGGAAUCCUCCAGGUUUCGCGUUCGUUGAGUAUGAUGAUCCCAGAGAUGCAUCCGAUGCAGUAAAAGAUAUGGAUUCAAGAACCAUCUGUGGAGAGAGGGCUCGUGUAGAACUAGCUCGGGGUGAAUCAAGAAGACGUGGUGGUGGUGGUGGAAGAGGUUUCCGAGGAGGCAACCGUGGUCAUUCAAGGGGAGACCGAUAUAACAGUGGGGAUUAUGGAAAUUUUGGAGGAGGAGGUGGAAGGCGCGGCUUCGGGGGCGGUGGUGGAGGACGCCGAAGGAACUACUCCAGGACUCUCCUUUUAACGGCUUCACAGCCAAGUAACGCCUUGAGCCUUGUUGUAAAGCCCUUCAGGAAUCCACCAUAAAGCACUUCCAUUCUAUACCCUUGAGCAGCUAGUCGACGGAAUGUGAUCUUUUCAUGAUAAGGACCUGUUCGGCAGAGGGUAUAAAGAAGUCUUGCGCUUCUAGAACCCUCUUCUUCACAUUGCACCUUUACGCCAAAUCUGCACUUCAGGUUCAUUAAGAAAAAUCAGAAAAAGCUUCAAAAUUCCAGAUUCAAAAUCUCGACGAAAAAGGGGCUUCAAAAUUGGCCAGUCACCACACCACCACCUUGCAAAAGCUUACUUCGAUUCAGGCCACGUCGAUUUGCGACUUGUGACUUCAUUUAGUAGGAGACUACGGCCCUCAAAUUCAUAAUGGCUUCAGGGUUAUACUAGUUUCGUCAGUUCUGCACUUGGUAAAAAGAUCACGUAUACGUCGUACUGCCUUCUCCUGCGUUAGUCCUUCACUAGUCCUUCGCUAUUCCUUCACUAGGCCUUCGCAACUGACAAAAUGGGAACCUUAAGUUCCCUUUCCGUCCAAUUUCUUCACCCUUCUACAUGUAUAUCUACAGGCGAAAGAGGUAAUCUCGAUCGCGAUCUCGCUCACCUUUCCAAAGACGAGGUGGAUUCAGUCGAAGCAGAAGUCGAAGUCGUUAAGUGAUGCAGGCAUAGUCCCAAGAUCAACAUGCUGCGCUUUGAAUGUAAUGUAUUGAAAUUAUCAAGUGGAGAAUCAAACCAGCCCUGCUCUGAUUGGCUGGUUCUUGGGAAGCAUUCUUCAAACGCACCAAUUACCAGCAUAAUCCUUCUCGUGGAGUAAGAGGUUGAUCUGUACAUUAUAUCAUAUUGCCAAAGUUUGUCUGAUCUUGUUGUCAGUCAUGGCACAAUAUUCUCGUUUUAUUUUGUGGGUGUAUGACUCUGUGUAAUUUGAGAUACUUCUCUAUGUAUUUUUUAGUCAUUUGUGUAUCAGCGUCAUUUUUUAUACCUUUCCUGUCAGUUAUUUUAUGCGACCAUCCUAGAUUGAUUUUGAUUUCAUAUCAUGUCAUCGCGUUCCUCACACAUGGUGAAAUAUUGAAGGAAAUUCACAAAUUAUGCAUUAUAUUUUGAAUUCUUAGCAUGUGAACUAUGUUGAUAUCUCAUCAGUAGCAUCAGUUAUUAACUAAAUACCGUUAAAGGGAAUGUAUAUUGUAAGUGCUGUGUGAUUCGUACUAUUUUAGUAUCCUAAUUUCCUCACAAUUAAUCUUUGGUUUUGGGAAGUCUUUAAUCUAUUGUUACAUAAAUACGUUAAAUAGAUGCAGAAUGACAUUCAUUACUGAUGUAAAAAAAGGUUUUAAUUUUCUUAAUUGCAAUUGUUUUAUUUUUUAGGAUUUGAGUAAAUUAAUAUUUAUGGAUUCAAAUCGAUAAUGUUUACGAAACACAAUAAUACACUGUAUAAAUUUCCACUAAUAUAUUAUAUAUAGUCCACUGCAGAUUCUAAGUUGGACUCUGAUAUGUGUAUUCACAUAUCAGUUCACAUUGAUGAAUUAGCUGCUCCAUUCAGCAUUAUUCAGUUUGACCAAUUUUUUAUCAUGGGCCAAAUUUCCAUUUAAUUGGACAAUGAAUUAAUUCAAUUCAAAUCUUGUCCAUGCAAUCUUAAGAACUUUUUUAAUAGAUAGCAUCAAGAUGCUACUUUUUAUGGACACCAACUGCAGUUAGUCAAGUCUUGUAUUUUCAUACAUUUGGUUUUGACUUCACAAGUUUUUAAACGUCUCUUCUUUUUAGAUAGAAUGUUCAGGGUGUUUUAAUGGUAAUGACUGUCAGAUAUUGUAUCAAAGUACCAUUUUAUUGUAAGAUUUUGUCAUAUGAAGACCAAUAAAUAAAAUAUCACUAUCACAUUCA
Molecule: unclassified non-coding RNA, 2552 nt
Filed under: Lytechinus variegatus (green sea urchin)
Lineage: Eukaryota; Metazoa; Echinodermata; Echinoidea; Temnopleuroida; Toxopneustidae
Description: serine/arginine-rich splicing factor 3-like, transcript variant X1
Source: RNAcentral